RNAcentral lists this ribosomal RNA (406 nucleotides) under uncultured bacterium. RNAcentral describes it as "partial 16S ribosomal RNA". It matches the Rfam family "Bacterial small subunit ribosomal RNA", at positions 30 to 526 of the family's 1533-position model. The record is from RNAcentral.
AUUGAACGCUGGCGGCAGGCCUAACACAUGCAAGUCGAACGAGUGGCGGACGGGUGAGUAAUGUCUGGGAAACUGCCCGAUAGAGGGGGAUAACUACUGGAAACGGUAGCUAAUACCGCAUACUAUCGGAUGUGCCCAGAUGGGAUUAGCUAGUAGGUGGGGUAAAGGCUCACCUAGGCGACGAUCCCUAGCUGGUCUGAGAGGAUGACCAGCCACACUGGGACUGAGACACGGCCCAGACUCCUACGGGAGGCAGCAGUGGGGAAUAUUGCACAAUGGGCGCAAGCCUGAUGCAGCCAUGCCGCGUGUAUGAAGAAGGCCUUCGGGUUGUAAAGUACUUUCAGCGGGGAGGCGUUACCCGCAGAAGAAGCAUCGGCUAACUCCGUGCCAGCAGCCGCGGUAAUAC